This 468-nucleotide ribosomal RNA is filed under the name uncultured bacterium. Its description in RNAcentral is "partial 16S ribosomal RNA". It matches the Rfam family "Bacterial small subunit ribosomal RNA", at positions 28 to 507 of the family's 1533-position model. The record is from RNAcentral.
GACGAACGCUGGCGGCGUGCUUAACACAUGCAAGUCGAACGGAAAGGUCCUGCUUUUGUGGGGUGCUCGAGUGGCGAACGGGUGAGUAACACGUGAGUAACCUGCCCUUGACUUUGGGAUAACUUCAGGAAACUGGGGCUAAUACCGGAUAGGAGCUCCUGCUGCAUGGUGGGGGUUGGAAAGUUUCGGCGGUUGGGGAUGGACUCGCGGCUUAUCAGCUUGUUGGUGGGGUAGUGGCUUACCAAGGCUUUGACGGGUAGCCGGCCUGAGAGGGUGACCGGCCACAAUGGGACUGAGAUACGGCCCAGACUCCUACGGGAGGCAGCAGUGGGGAAUAUUGCACAAUGGGCGGAAGCCUGAUGCAGCAACGCCGCGUGCGGGAUGACGGCCUUCGGGUUGUAAACCGCUUUCGCCUGUGACGAAGCGUGAGUGACGGUAAUGGGUAAAGAAGCACCGGCUAACUACGUG